CCACAUAAGCAGGUGAAACUUCUUAGAGGAACUGGCGCCCGAAAAGGCGCACGAGAAAGAGCAAUAACAGGUCUGUGAUGCCCUAAGAUGUCCGGGGCCGCACGCGUGCUACAAUGACGAUGCUACUGAGCAUGAUUAACUUGUCCGAAAGGAUUGGUGAAACUGUUCAAUCAUCGUCGUGACUGGGAUUGGGGUUUGCAAUUGUCCCCCAUGAACCAGGAAUUCCUAGUAAGCACAAGUCAUAAGCUUGUGCUGAUUACGUCCCUGCCCUUUGUACACACCGCCCGUCGCUACUACCGAUUGAAUGGUUUAGCAAGGACAUUGGAUUGAGCCCUUGCGGUUUCGGCUGCUUGGGUUUAAGAAGAUGUCCGAACUUGAUCAUUUAGAGGAAGUAAAAGUCGUAACAAGGUUUCCGUAGGUGAACCUGCGGAAGGAUCAUUA
Molecule: ribosomal RNA, 441 nt
Filed under: Dactylogyrus ergensi
Lineage: Eukaryota; Metazoa; Platyhelminthes; Monogenea; Dactylogyridea; Dactylogyridae
Also listed under: 1 other name
Description: SSU rRNA
Rfam family: Eukaryotic small subunit ribosomal RNA
Source: RNAcentral